GGUUAAGCGACUAAGCGUACACGGUGGAUGCCCUGGCAGUCAGAGGCGAUGAAGGACGUGCUAAUCUGCGAUAAGCGUCGGUAAGGUGAUAUGAACCGUUAUAACCGGCGAUUUCCGAAUGGGGAAACCCAGUGUGAUUCGUCACACUAUCAUUAACUGAAUCCAUAGGUUAAUGAGGCGAACCGGGGGAACUGAAACAUCUAAGUACCCCGAGGAAAAGAAAUCAACCGAGAUUCCCCCAGUAGCGGCGAGCGAACGGGGAGCAGCCCAGAGCCUGAAUCAGUGUGUGUGUUAGUGGAAGCGUCUGGAAAGGCGCGCGAUACAGGGUGACAGCCCCGUACACAAAAAUGCACAUGCUGUGAGCUCGAUGAGUAGGGCGGGACACGUGGUAUCCUGUCUGAAUAUGGGGGGACCAUCCUCCAAGGCUAAAUACUCCUGACUGACCGAUAGUGAACCAGUACCGUGAGGGAAAGGCGAAAAGAACCCCGGCGAGGGGAGUGAAAAAGAACCUGAAACCGUGUACGUACAAGCAGUGGGAGCACGCUUAGGCGUGUGACUGCGUACCUUUUGUAUAAUGGGUCAGCGACUUAUAUUCUGUAGCAAGGUUAACCGAAUAGGGGAGCCGAAGGGAAACCGAGUCUUAACUGGGCGUUAAGUUGCAGGGUAUAGACCCGAAACCCGGUGAUCUAGCCAUGGGCAGGUUGAAGGUUGGGUAACACUAACUGGAGGACCGAACCGACUAAUGUUGAAAAAUUAGCGGAUGACUUGUGGCUGGGGGUGAAAGGCCAAUCAAACCGGGAGAUAGCUGGUUCUCCCCGAAAGCUAUUUAGGUAGCGCCUCGUGAAUUCAUCUCCGGGGGUAGAGCACUGUUUCGGCAAGGGGGUCAUCCCGACUUACCAACCCGAUGCAAACUGCGAAUACCGGAGAAUGUUAUCACGGGAGACACACGGCGGGUGCUAACGUCCGUCGUGAAGAGGGAAACAACCCAGACCGCCAGCUAAGGUCCCAAAGUCAUGGUUAAGUGGGAAACGAUGUGGGAAGGCCCAGACAGCCAGGAUGUUGGCUUAGAAGCAGCCAUCAUUUAAAGAAAGCGUAAUAGCUCACUGGUCGAGUCGGCCUGCGCGGAAGAUGUAACGGGGCUAAACCAUGCACCGAAGCUGCGGCAGCGACGCUUAUGCGUUGUUGGGUAGGGGAGCGUUCUGUAAGCCUGCGAAGGUGUGCUGUGAGGCAUGCUGGAGGUAUCAGAAGUGCGAAUGCUGACAUAAGUAACGAUAAAGCGGGUGAAAAGCCCGCUCGCCGGAAGACCAAGGGUUCCUGUCCAACGUUAAUCGGGGCAGGGUGAGUCGACCCCUAAGGCGAGGCCGAAAGGCGUAGUCGAUGGGAAACAGGUUAAUAUUCCUGUACUUGGUGUUACUGCGAAGGGGGGACGGAGAAGGCUAUGUUGGCCGGGCGACGGUUGUCCCGGUUUAAGCGUGUAGGCUGGUUUUCCAGGCAAAUCCGGAAAAUCAAGGCUGAGGCGUGAUGACGAGGCACUACGGUGCUGAAGCAACAAAUGCCCUGCUUCCAGGAAAAGCCUCUAAGCAUCAGGUAACAUCAAAUCGUACCCCAAACCGACACAGGUGGUCAGGUAGAGAAUACCAAGGCGCUUGAGAGAACUCGGGUGAAGGAACUAGGCAAAAUGGUGCCGUAACUUCGGGAGAAGGCACGCUGAUAUGUAGGUGAAGUCCCUCGCGGAUGGAGCUGAAAUCAGUCGAAGAUACCAGCUGGCUGCAACUGUUUAUUAAAAACACAGCACUGUGCAAACACGAAAGUGGACGUAUACGGUGUGACGCCUGCCCGGUGCCGGAAGGUUAAUUGAUGGGGUUAGCGCAAGCGAAGCUCUUGAUCGAAGCCCCGGUAAACGGCGGCCGUAACUAUAACGGUCCUAAGGUAGCGAAAUUCCUUGUCGGGUAAGUUCCGACCUGCACGAAUGGCGUAAUGAUGGCCAGGCUGUCUCCACCCGAGACUCAGUGAAAUUGAACUCGCUGUGAAGAUGCAGUGUACCCGCGGCAAGACGGAAAGACCCCGUGAACCUUUACUAUAGCUUGACACUGAACAUUGAGCCUUGAUGUGUAGGAUAGGUGGGAGGCUUUGAAGUGUGGACGCCAGUCUGCAUGGAGCCGACCUUGAAAUACCACCCUUUAAUGUUUGAUGUUCUAACGUUGACCCGUGAUCCGGGUUGCGGACAGUGUCUGGUGGGUAGUUUGACUGGGGCGGUCUCCUCCUAAAGAGUAACGGAGGAGCACGAAGGUUGGCUAAUCCUGGUCGGACAUCAGGAGGUUAGUGCAAUGGCAUAAGCCAGCUUGACUGCGAGCGUGACGGCGCGAGCAGGUGCGAAAGCAGGUCAUAGUGAUCCGGUGGUUCUGAAUGGAAGGGCCAUCGCUCAACGGAUAAAAGGUACUCCGGGGAUAACAGGCUGAUACCGCCCAAGAGUUCAUAUCGACGGCGGUGUUUGGCACCUCGAUGUCGGCUCAUCACAUCCUGGGGCUGAAGUAGGUCCCAAGGGUAUGGCUGUUCGCCAUUUAAAGUGGUACGCGAGCUGGGUUUAGAACGUCGUGAGACAGUUCGGUCCCUAUCUGCCGUGGGCGCUGGAGAACUGAGGGGGGCUGCUCCUAGUACGAGAGGACCGGAGUGGACGCAUCACUGGUGUUCGGGUUGUCAUGCCAAUGGCACUGCCCGGUAGCUAAAUGCGGAAGAGAUAAGUGCUGAAAGCAUCUAAGCACGAAACUUGCCCCGAGAUGAGUUCUCCCUGACCCUUUAAGGGUCCUGAAGGAACGUUGAAGACGACGACGUUGAUAGGCCGGGUGUGUAAGCGCAGCGAUGCGUUGAGCUAACCGGUACUAAUGAACCGUGAGGCUUAACCUU
This 2904-nucleotide ribosomal RNA is filed under the name Escherichia coli. RNAcentral's name for it is "23S ribosomal RNA". It matches the Rfam family "Bacterial large subunit ribosomal RNA". Lineage: Bacteria; Pseudomonadati; Pseudomonadota; Gammaproteobacteria; Enterobacterales; Enterobacteriaceae. The record is from RNAcentral.